AUACGUAGGUGACAAGCGUUAUCCGGAUUUACUGGGCGUAAAGGGCGUGUAGGCGGUCUUGCAAGUCAGAAGUGAAAUUCCUGAGCUCAACUCGGGCGCUGCUUCUGAAACUGCAGGACUUGAGUGCUGGAGGGGAUAGCGGAAUUCCUAGUGGAGCGGUAAAAUGCGCAGAUAUUAGGAAGAACACCGGUGGCGAAGGCGGCUAUCUGGACAGUAACUGACGCUGAGGCGCGAAAGCGUGGGGAGCAAACAGGAUUAGAUACCCUGGUAGUCCACGCUGUAAACGAUGAAUGCUAGGUGUAGCGGGUAUCGACCCCUGCUGUGCCGCAGUAAACACAAUAAGCAUUCCGCCUGGGGAGUACGGCCGCAAGGUUGAAACUCAAAUGAAUUGACGGGG
This 397-nucleotide ribosomal RNA is filed under the name uncultured bacterium. RNAcentral's name for it is "partial 16S ribosomal RNA". It matches the Rfam family "Bacterial small subunit ribosomal RNA", at positions 523 to 918 of the family's 1533-position model. The record is from RNAcentral.